Molecule: ribosomal RNA, 327 nt
Filed under: uncultured eukaryote
Lineage: Eukaryota
Description: partial 18S ribosomal RNA
Rfam family: Eukaryotic small subunit ribosomal RNA
Source: RNAcentral
CCCUUAGAUGUUCUGGGCCGCACACGCGCUACACUGAAGGAGGCAGCGUGUACUCCUGGAUCGAAAGAUUUGGGUAACCCGCGAAUCUCCUUCGUGCUAGGGAUUGAGGUUUGCAAUUAUCCUUCAUGAACGAGGAAUUCCCAGUAAGUGCAAGUCAUAAGCUUGCGCUGACUACGUCCCCGCCCUUUGUACACACCACCCGUCGCUACUACCGAUUGAAUGAUUUAGUGAGGACUUCGGACUGGGACCGAUGCGGCUUUCGGGCUGCGUCGGUAUUCUGGAAAGAUGUCCAAACUGUAUCAUUUAGAGGAAGUAAAAGUCGUAACA